GACGAACGCUGGCGGCGUGCUUAACACAUGCAAGUCGAACGGAAAGGCCCUGCUUUUGUGGGGUGCUCGAGUGGCGAACGGGUGAGUAACACGUGAGUAACCUGCCCUUGACUUUGGGAUAACUUCAGGAAACUGGGGCUAAUACCGGAUAGGAGCUCCUGCUGCAUGGUGGGGGUUGGAAAGUUUCGGCGGUUGGGGGUGGACUCGCGGCUUAUCAGCUUGUUGGUGGGGUAGUGGCUUACCAAGGCUUUGACGGGUAGCAGGCCUGAGAGGGUGACCGGCCACAUUGGGACUGAGAUACGGCCCAGACUCCUACGGGAGGCAGCAGUGGGGAAUAUUGCACAAUGGGCGGAAGCCUGAUGCAGCAACGCCGCGUGCGGGAUGACGGCCUUCGGGUUGUAAACCGCUUUCGCCUGUGACGAAGCGUGAGUGACGGUAAUGGGUAAAGAAGCACCGGCUAACUACGUG
This 468-nucleotide ribosomal RNA is filed under the name uncultured bacterium. RNAcentral's name for it is "partial 16S ribosomal RNA". It matches the Rfam family "Bacterial small subunit ribosomal RNA", at positions 28 to 507 of the family's 1533-position model. The record is from RNAcentral.